Molecule: unclassified non-coding RNA, 446 nt
Filed under: Hevea brasiliensis (rubber tree)
Lineage: Eukaryota; Viridiplantae; Streptophyta; Magnoliopsida; Malpighiales; Euphorbiaceae
Source: RNAcentral
UCUCUCUCUCUCUCUCGCUCUUUGUGCUGAGAUGUCUUUGACUCAUUCGAUCAUUUAAUUAAUCUAUUGGCUUCUAUUUCUCUUGUGUUUGGAUUUAGGUUUGUGUGUGUGCAUGUUUGUGUUUGGAUUUCUCUCAGGUGUGUGCUCAGGCAUGUGUUUAUGUGUUAGAAAAACAAAUGGUGCACCAAAACACAAAAUCUUAAGUUGAAUGAUGAUGACUAAAGGAUAGACUUGCUGGCAUGGUCAUUGGAUAGAAUGUAUCCUGUUUCUUAGGAAAAUUUUUACUUAUAGUUAUCUUUUCUAUAUGGUAUAGCCGUACGACCGGCCAUGUUAUAUGGUAGUGAGUGUUGGACACUGAAAGAGUCGUAUGCGUAUAAGAUAAGAGUUGCAGAGAUGAAAAUGUUAAGGUGGAUGAGUGGCCAAACUAGACUAGAUAAAGUCCGUAA